CCUAUCUCCCUGCUCAAGGCAGGAGACCCUCUACCAUUCCAGACAAGGGGCUGUCCAGUCUCUCUUUGAAGGCCUCCAGUGAUGGAGCCCCCACAACCUCUGGAGGGAAGCCGUUCCACUGGUCAAUUGUUCUCACUGUCAGGAAAUUCCUCCUUAGUUCUGGGAUGGCGGUUCUAACUCUUCAAGAAGUAGAGCAGAAUUUAUAAAAAGGUAGAAAACAUAUUAAAAAGAAAGAGAAGCUUAUAAAAAUACAUACAAAAAUCAAUGAAAAUUUUAAAAACCACACAAAAAUAUAUGUAUUAAAAUGUAAGAAGAGAGAGAGAGAGAGAGAAUCAGAGGUGGCAUUCAGCCGGUUCGCACCUGCUCAGGAGAAACCGGCAGCGAUAAUUUGGCGGGGAUCUCCGAACAGGUAGCGACUUCUGGCUGGCCACGCCCCCGAACCGGUUCCUGGUGGCAGCUCGCUCACUUGCCCCGCCCUACGCUCGCCCCGCCCAGUCACUCCUCACACUCCCCACAAUGGGUCCUCGUGGCUUAACCUGCUUUCCAACAUGAUGCCUGGCCCUACGUCCCAACUGAGCACCUCUGAUCUUCCUGCUGAAAGCAGAUGGAGGAGGGAGUCUGCUGGCCCAAUGCCUGCCAGCCUUCCUGAGGAGCCAGCCGCCAUGUCCUUCAUGGGCCAGAGCUUGCGACCAUCGGAGCUCCACCUCGGACCCUGAUGGAUGCCUCCCUCCUGGCGCUUCCCUUCCAGACAGCCAGGGUCUUCCUCGGCAGCAUUGAGAAGAGUCGCCUGCAGUGCACCUCAGCUGAUUCACCCUUUCUGGACCUAUGGAAAGUUUGGUAUUCUUCUACAAUAGAAAACAGGCUUUGUGGUGACUGGGAGCCGACUUCUGAGCUCAAAUCUCCAAUGGAGCAACUCGACUCUUCAAAGAGCUCCAGGAAACACUGCAGCUUCUGUUUCGAAUUUGGACAGAAUCAGGGUAAUGAAAUGUGUUGAAAUCUUCUCUUAAAACAAAUGAUGGGACAUUCAGAUUUGUUUAUUGCAGGCCGGAAGUCAUUUACACGCAAGAUAAAGUAUGAGUGGUGAGGUGGCCUAGAGGUGGAACUCUGGUCUCACAAUCAGGAGGCUGUGAGUUCUAUCUUAGGUGGAGGCAGAUGUUGCUCUCUCUGGGAACACUGAGAAUAUUAUCUGCCUGACAAAACUCCGCAUCGGUGACAGGAAGGGCAUCCGGCCAUUAAAACACUCUGCUAGAUCCAUUCAGUUGCCCAGAUUCCACCCCUCCAGGGAUUAUGAGGUCAUUAAAUGAAGAAUUACCUUUGCUCAAAACUGGAAACAAGAUGACACUCACUUGGACGUAAUGGUAAUAAGAAAGAUCUUUGAGUGUGCAGAGAUGGAUAGGUUAACUAUGGAGUUAAAAGACAGAGAAGAAACGGAAUGCUAUAAGAUCUGGAAUGGAUGGUGCCAGUGGUUAGAGAACAGACGUAAAGUUGUUACAGGAAGAAUAUGUAGGAGGUAUAGUAAAAGGAGGAAGUAUUGCAUAUAUAUUUGUAAAUAUUGUAAAUAUUGUUAUAAGUUAAAAGUAGGAAAAAACUAUAUAACAUAAUAGAGCAGUAAAAAUUAUAUCACUAUGAGUGAAUACCAUAACCUGAACGCUGUAAUGAGUGUAAAUGUGAUGUUUUAAUUUGAAAUACGACUAAUAAAAAUUUACUUUGUAAAAAAAAAAUCAAGAUGAGAUGAUACUAUGGCACCCUUGGUGCUCUCUGAGCUUGGUUGUUUUCUUGCAGUCAUUUCAUGUUGAUGUUACAUUACAUUAGGUAACAUCAGUGUAGAAGGGACUGGGUUUACUCUAUGUCUAUAAGUCACCCGCCCUGUCAGUGUUGGUGGGAGUGUGGUUUUCUUCUUGG
This 1902-nucleotide long non-coding RNA is filed under the name Naja naja (Indian cobra). Its description in RNAcentral is "lncRNA (ENSNNAG00000018942.1)". The record is from RNAcentral. Lineage: Eukaryota; Metazoa; Chordata; Lepidosauria; Squamata; Elapidae.